This 505-nucleotide long non-coding RNA is filed under the name Mus musculus (house mouse). RNAcentral describes it as "predicted gene 44864". Lineage: Eukaryota; Metazoa; Chordata; Mammalia; Rodentia; Muridae. The record is from RNAcentral.
GGACGGGAUGCUGAGCUGAGACUAAAGGGUAGGGCUGACAGAUGCACACUACAGAUCCUGGCUUCUGGCAUGGAUUUCAAGGAAUCUCAGGGAGGAAUGAGGAAGCUGCAGGAAGGGAAUGACGGGAUUCCCCACUCACCACUCCACUACAUCCUCUACCAACCUGCCAAGAAAUACCUGCCAUCCCCUGGAGUCUUACCAGUCCCCUCACCCACAGUUCCAAGACCUCCGUCUGGCCUCCAUCCCCAGCCUUGAGAGUUCUUCUGACAGAAUGCCCUUUCCCCAGCACUACCUCCUCAGUCGCGUUGGUCCGCUAGCCUCAUCACCUCCUCACACAAAAGUGGUUCUGGAGUGGCGAGACCCCUGAAUACGGUCCGCAUGCACCUACUCUCACAAAUGUUUUUAGCGCAACGAGUCACGGGAUCCACACUGACCUGUCGCGGCAAGAAAGUCCUCGAACGACAACAAGCGCCCGCUUCGCGUCUGAAGCUGAUUAAGGCUGGGC